UGGGUGACCUGCCUUCAGCUCUGGGAUAAGCCUGGGAAACUGGGUCUAAUACCUGAUAUUCACUGCCUGUCGCAUGGUGGGUGGUGGAAAGUUUUUCGGCUGGGGAUGGGCUCGCGGCCUAUCAGCUUGUUGGUGGGGUGAUGGCCUAACAAGGCGACGACGGGUAGCCGGCCUGAGAGGGCGACCGGCCACACUGGGACUGAGACACGGCCCAGACUCCGUACGGGA
This 228-nucleotide ribosomal RNA is filed under the name uncultured bacterium. RNAcentral describes it as "partial 16S ribosomal RNA". It matches the Rfam family "Bacterial small subunit ribosomal RNA", at positions 118 to 346 of the family's 1533-position model. The record is from RNAcentral.